RNAcentral lists this long non-coding RNA (6049 nucleotides) under Homo sapiens (human). Its description in RNAcentral is "non-protein coding SNHG10:15". Lineage: Eukaryota; Metazoa; Chordata; Mammalia; Primates; Hominidae. The record is from RNAcentral.
GUCAGCGGCGGUUGAAUUGCCAUGGCAAUGCGGUGGGCGCGCGCUUGUCGUGUUGGUCUCUUGGGAGCACUCAGUUUUAUUCACUGCUGUAUCCUCAGUGCCUAGGACGAUGCUUGGAACGUGAUUCAUUGAUUCCAGGUAAAUCAGAGGAACAAGCAACAUGAACAGAAAUAUGUAGAAAAAGCUAUUAUGCAGAAGCAUAAUUGUUGUUUCAGAAGUCCAGCAUCUGGUGCACUUAACAAUAGAGAAUAUAUUAAACUCUUUCCAAAAUAACCUGUUGUUCCUACCUGUGUUGUAAGUGUUUUGUUUGUUUUUAAGUAAAUAUUGGUGAUUUGUUGCCAAAAACCUAAACUGUUUGUUGCUGUCAACUUAAAUAACGAACAGAGAGAGGCUCUCUAAAAGAAAAUGGCAUUUAUUCAGGAAUAGAGCACUGCAAUGAGAAAAUGCAUGCGAUAGUUAACUGUGUGUAUCCUGGGAGAUAGAGGAAGACAAAGGUCUUUAAAGGAAAAAUGAGGAGGGUUACAUAAUUGUUUUGAGAUAAUUAUUUUUGACUACAAGGAUCAGUAACAAAGGUGACACCAGUCCCAGGUUGGACAGGCAGGUGCUCGGCAGGCAUUGCAGAAGUAUUUUUUGUGUAAGAUUGAGAUGGCCUUUGUGCAGGAUUGUGGUUUUGGAAUCUUCUGUGAUCGUUUUUGCUAUCAGGCAUUUAUGCUUGCGAACUCUUUAUGGCCUUCCCUGUGUCUAUUUUGAUUCCACCUUUCUCAUUGCCCACUCUAAACUGUAAUUCUGCUUUUAUGUUGACUGAGAUCAGGAGAAGAAUUUGCAAACUUAUAUCCUGAGACAGAACAGUAAUGAGGAGUAUCGUGUUCCUUACCUAAUGUAUAAUAUUGGGCUCAGAAGCAGUUGUCUUUUUUAUUUGUUGAACGUUGUAUUAAGUUGAGAAUGCAGCUGCCAUUAAAGAUUAAGAGUAAUCCUUGAGAAGGAAGAGUACAAAGCCUGUGUUUUGCUAAAUCAUAGUGAAGUUGCCGUGUUUUUGUAGAAUAUGAUAAGAACAUACAGUGUGUGAAAUGCUAAGGAUAUGGAAAAGCAUGUUGGUGCUCUUUCAAGGAGCUAUUUUGAUAGCAUGAGCAAGGGCAGGAAACAGAUCAUGUAUCUGAACCAAAGAAAUUGAAACAAUACAUCUAAAUUUAAAUUUUUAAUAAAACAACCCAAAAUAUAGUGAAAUACUUAGCACCAAACAUCAGUGAUCUUAAGAAGCAAAGAAAACAGUAUUCAAAAUACUUCGUCCAAAGUAUCAGACUUUUGCAUAAAGUUUGGCAUUUUGGUUUUGAGAUUCCUCUUUAGUCCUAUGAUGAAAACAUGACAAAAUAUACAUCUUAAAUAAACAGUUGUCAUCAGUCUGCAUCUAUGACCAGAUGUUUUGGGUGUUUUGAGUAAAUGGCCUGUCUUAGCAUGUGAUGGCUUCCUGCCUCGUGAACAUUAGUGAAGAGGUGAGGGUGGGAAGUACUCAGGAACUUCUGAGAAUCCUGGGAUUUGAGUCACAGGAUUGGUUAAACCCCAAACUAAAUAAUCAUGCCGUGUAAACAUGCUGACUCAGGCAUCCUAAAAAUGUUUUUCUUCCUUGUGUUUAUUUAUAGAUAAGGCUUUACUAUAUUUGGUAGAACUCCUGUUUUCUAUCCACUUCUCCAAAAACAAAUUCGCCAUUGAAUUCAUCGUGUAAACCUCCACAUAUCUGAGAUAGCUUCUUCCGUUUAUCAGCCCCAAAUGAAGAACUAGAGUUCAGAUUAUUGAACUGAAGGUGAUGCUUUAUCUGAGCACUCCACAUGUCAGUGUUUCUGUACCUUUACUUUUUUAAAAAAUUAUUUUUUAAAAAGAUGAGGUCUCAGUAGGUUGCCCAGACUGGUCUCCAACACCUGGUCUCGAAUACUCCUCCCGCCUUGCCCUCCCAAAGUGCUAGGGUUACAGGUGUGAGCCGCCGCACUGGCCCUGUUCAUUUUAUGCUCAGUGCUGCAUUCUUGUUUGUUCUUAGAAAAUGAGAGGGUGUGUUUGCAUGAGAACGUGUGGUACAGAAGUGUCUAUCUGAGCUGGCCAGAACAUUCUGCAAAUGUCAUAUUAAGGGCAAAAUGGCUGCUUGGAUUGUACAAGGGGCCGAACCACCACGCAUUCCUAAGCUAAAAUAGCAGAUUCUAUUGACCUGAGCUGGAACCUGAAAGCUUCCUCUGUGAUGCACUGAGCUAUCAUCUAGUAGUUUUAGAGCAUCACUGCAACCCUGGAACUACCUGGAUUCCCUGAUAACACCAAAAAUAAUGUAAUGUAUAAGAAACUGAAGCAAAAUGCAGCCCUCAGAAUUUUUCUAGUCCCUAUUGUGGAGAUAGAAAUGCUUGUUGGAUUUCGACUACCUCUAUCUGACAAGGCAGCUGGUUUAUUAAUACUUCUUUGGCCGAGGCUUUGCUCAUCCCUGCCGCCCACAUCUUGGAGACAGGAAGGCAGGCCAGCCUCCACUGUGUCACACAAGUCCUGCUCCCUUCACCUGCCCUGAGUCACUGGGUCACUGAAGAGAAAGGGCAUGCUGUAGAUCUGGUUAGUUCAGUCUAGAAUAGACCGUGGGAGAUAGGUGAGCAUUUAUGAAAAGCCCAGAUGCCAUGACAACCCAGUUUUGUCCUGGAAUUUGGGUGGAGGUGUAGUCCUGGGUUCUGGUCUUAAACGUCGCUGAGUACUUGAGUUCUUUUUGAUUUUCCUCAGAUUUUUCCACAUCUAUUUUCCCCUUUCUGGAUUUUGGAAAAAUCCAAAUUGAUGUCUGCCGAAGUUUGUAUAUAAUUGAAGAAUUUCUUCAUAUAAAGGCUGCAGCGUUGUAAGAAAUCUGUGUGUACUUUCUCUGCUCAUAAAUAUUUACCCCCAAAUGUUAUCAUCUUGCAUAGAUUGUACUUUUUUGUUAAAUUUUUGUGUGUAUACAUGAAUUCAUUCGAAGCAUACAUUAACCCUAGGAUAACAGUUCUCAGACAUUUUGGUCUCCAAAUUAUGUUUUUUUCUAAUAUAAUAUGUUGAUAGACAUUAGCACUUGUGUCUCUAAGUUUUGUUGCCUUCACAUGCAAUUUCUGUUUUCCUGCUGAUUCAUAGCAUCACCAACAAGUCCUGUAGAAAAUCAACUAUCCCAGUUAUCUUUGCUGGCUCUGCAUAUAUACUAGAUACACAGAUGAUUUUUGGGCUUUGUAAAUUAAAAUGACAAAAGUUCAAUCCAGAGAUCUAAUAGCUGGACGUGGUGGCUCACAUCUGUAAUCCCAGCACUUUGGAAGGCCAAGGCGGGCAGAUCACCUAAGGUCAGGAGUUCAAGACCAGCCUGGCCAACAUGGCGAAACCCCAUCUCUACUAAAAAUACAAAAAAUUAGCCGGACGUGGUAGCGGGCACCUGUAAUCCCAGCUGCUUGGAGACUGAGGCAGGAGAAUUGCUGUAACCCAGGAGGCGGAGGUUGCAGUGAGCUGAGAUCUCGCCACUUCACUGCAUACUCCAGCCUGGGCAACAGAGCGAGACUCCAACUCAAAAAAACAGACAAACACACAGAAAACCAAAAAUCUAAUAAAAAAAAAUCUAAGCCUAUAGCCUGCUGUUUCUGAAAGCUAUGUUCCUCUUGUCCCCACGCUGCUUUCUCGCAUUGAGGGCCAAGCUCCUCGGCUGCGUGCCUUGAAAGUCAUACACCUGUUGGAUUUCAUUCUGUUGCAAGCCUUAUUUAAUAACAAGGACAUGGGCCUGAAUCAUAUCUCCCGGAAAGUGGUAUUGAGAAUUAAGUGGUAAUCGUAAAACUUGUUAAGCCUUUUGGUUAAAGGUGAUGAAAGAAUUGUUUAUUUUCCCCAACUGCCUGUUUAAUGGCAGUGUUUUGUAGUAUUAUGUGUUUCUUUUUUUUUUAACCAGCAGAUAGUUUCUAUAACUCAAAUUAUUACAUUCCAGAGACCUGAAAAGGUCCCUAGAUCGCAGAAUAGAAAGAGUAAGGAGGCAGUGCUGUUGUGUAUCCAACCUGUUAGGAAGAUUUAUCUGUUAGCAGAAGUUUAUGUCUCCCUCUGAUAGUCACUGAGUUUGCAGCCAGAAGAACAUUUAGGAAAUUUAAUUGUUUUCUUUUGAAUAAUUGCUAAGAUGUAUUGCCAAGGCCAUAAAUACACUUUAUCAUGAGUCAGAAUUUCACUUUGUACUUCAGUCUUUGAGCUUUAAUAAUUUCAUGCCUUCAAAAUGCAGUCUUGCUAUUGUGGGAACCCAUUGCUCCAGCCUUCUUCAAUCGUUCAUCUAGGCCUGGCGCAGUGGCUCAUGCCUGUAAUCCCAGCACUUUGGGAGACCGAGGCGGGUGGAUCACCUGAGGUCAGGAGUUCGAGACCAGCCUGGCCAACAUGGUGAAACCCCGGCUCUACUAAAAAUGCAAAAUUAGGCGAGCAUGGUGGUGGGUGCCUGUAGUCCUAGCUACUUGGGAGGCUGAGGCAGGAAAAUUGCUUGAGCCCAGGAGGUGGAGGUUGCAGUGAGUCAAGAUCGCACCACUGCACUCCAGCCUGGGCGACAGAGCAAGACUCUGUCUCAGAAAUAAACAAAUAAAUAGAAAACAGUUCAUCUAGCAAAAAAGAAAUUCACCCCAGUUUAAUUGCAGGGAGGGGAGGGAUGAUUCAAGUUAGAAAUGGGAUGAGGCAUUAAUUAUUCAUUUUCCUUUGCUGGCAAAAAAAAAUGGAGGAUUUUAAAUUUUUUUGUUCUCCUUUUACAGCCAGAAAAAUCCUAUUUGCUAAUUCUAAACUUAAUAUUUUUUGAAAGGGUAUCCUAGUGAGAUAUUGUUCAUUGAUAUCAAAUUUUAGUGAGCCACAGUUUCAAAGAGUUUUAAUAAAAGACUAUCAAAAGACUGGGUGUGGUGGCUCAUGCCUGUAAUCCCAGCACUUUGGGAGGCCGAGGCAGAUGGAUCACCUGAGGUCAGGAAUUUGAGACCAGCCUGGCCAACAUGGUGAAACCCCAUCUCUACUAAAAAUACAAAAAAUUAGCCGGGCGUGGUGGCGGGUGCCUGUAAUCCAAGCUACUGAGGAGGCUGAGGCCGGAGAAUCACUUGAACCCAGGAGGCAGAGGUUGCAGUGAGCCAAGAUCACGCCAUUGCACUCCAGCCUGGGCAACAAGAGCAAAAGUUCAUCUUAAAAAAAAAAAAAAAGACUAUCAUAAAACAAUUACAUUUUGUUUAAAAAAAAAGGAGUUUUUUUUGCAUAAGCUUUAUUACAUAGGCAAAAUUGGGUGACUUGAGGAGAAGCUGUUAUAUUGGCAAACCUUCUUCCCUCUCCAGAUAGACGGUGAUCUGGCAUUUUCAUAUCAUAGCUGUAUGAGUGCAGCCUUGAGGGGACAUGCCAGUCUAGUCGAUGUGAAAUCAAUGGGAUAUUCCCGUUGGUUCAUCUCUUCAUACCAUGCAGCCACAGAUCCGUGAUAAUCCACACAUACUAUUGGCUGUCUAAUUACAGAGCAAAUAAUAUCCUCUUACUUGAAGGAAUUUUUACUUGUGUUCAGAAAAAUAACACAUCUUUCAAAGUCAUUCUGGUUUUGAGAAAUACAUUUUAUAAUAGAAUGAGUCUCUGUCUUUCCUGGCAAGGCAGGUAGGGGGCACUAGUCUAUUUUACUGAGGAAGCUGGGGCAAGAGCCAAUAAGGGCUGCCCCUGUAAUUAUACAUUCUCUGGGAAUUAAUCAUUUUGCUCAAUUCUAGGAAAAGUCUCUCAGUUCUUACCCAAGUGCUAUUCUUAUUUUAGGGAAUAGCUAACUUACUUAGUUUUCUAAUAUAACCACAACAGAUCAGAAGCAGUAAAUUUUAAAAGGCUAACACUAAAAGCAGAAAGAAACAAUGACUGAACAGUAAGUGAAAGGUGAAGCACUAAGAGGCAGACAUUCUGGGAUUCUUCUUAAAAAGCAGCAUUCUGGGGCAUUCGAUGUAAGGAGGGGCGAACAGUCUUCACCCGUGACUGUUCCUUGUGCACUAGUGCCUUGUAUUAUGCUUCCGAGCAAGAAAAAGAAAUUCUUUUCCCCAUGCUCUGAAUAGGAAGUCAAGGAAAC